ACGAGUGUAAAACUCCCAAACCAUUGUGAACCUACCACUGUUGCUUCGGCGGCCUCGCCCCGGGCGCGUUCGCGCGGCCCGGACCCAGGCGUCCGCCGGAGGCUCCAAACUCUUGUCUUUUAGUGUAUUUCUGAGUGGCAUAAGCAAAUAAAUCAAAACUUUCAGCAACGGAUCUCUUGGUUCUGGCAUCGAUGAAGAACGCAGCAAAAUGCGAUAAGUAAUGUGAAUUGCAGAAUUCAGUGAAUCAUCGAAUCUUUGAACGCACAUUGCGCCCGCCAGUAUUCUGGCGGGCAUGCCUGUCUGAGCGUCAUUUCAACCCUCAGGACCCGUUCGCGGGACCUGGCGUUGGGGAUCAGCCUGCCCCUGGCGGCGGCUGGCCCUGAAAUCCAGUGGCGGUUCCCUCGCGAACUCCUCCGUGCAGUAAUUAAACCUCUCGCGGCAGGAUAGCGGUUGAACCACGCCGUUAAACCCCCCACUUCUCAAGGUUGACCUCAGAUCAGGUAGGAA
This 507-nucleotide ribosomal RNA is filed under the name Acremonium alternatum. RNAcentral's name for it is "eukaryotic LSU rRNA". The stretch from base 157 to 310 matches the Rfam family "5.8S ribosomal RNA". Lineage: Eukaryota; Fungi; Ascomycota; Sordariomycetes; Hypocreales; Bionectriaceae. The record is from RNAcentral.